This 87-nucleotide transfer RNA is filed under the name Clostridiales bacterium. RNAcentral's name for it is "tRNA-Leu". It matches the Rfam family "tRNA". From Rfam's summary of the family: Transfer RNA (tRNA) molecules are approximately 80 nucleotides in length. Their secondary structure includes four short double-helical elements and three loops (D, anti-codon, and T loops). RNAcentral also lists the same sequence under 1 other name. The record is from RNAcentral. Lineage: Bacteria; Bacillati; Bacillota; Clostridia; Eubacteriales.
GCGGGUAUGGCGGAAUUGGCAGACGCGCCAGAUUCAGGUUCUGGUGGGGGCAACUUCGUGGAGGUUCAAGUCCUCUUACCCGCACCA